UCCCUGAUGGCUCAGAUGGUAAAGAAUCUGCCUGUAAUGCAGUAGAUCCAGGUUUAAUCCCUGGGUUGGGAA
RNAcentral lists this transfer RNA (72 nucleotides) under Ovis aries (sheep). It matches the Rfam family "tRNA". Rfam says of the family: Transfer RNA (tRNA) molecules are approximately 80 nucleotides in length. Their secondary structure includes four short double-helical elements and three loops (D, anti-codon, and T loops). Lineage: Eukaryota; Metazoa; Chordata; Mammalia; Artiodactyla; Bovidae. The record is from Rfam by way of RNAcentral.